This 302-nucleotide unclassified non-coding RNA is filed under the name plant metagenome. RNAcentral's name for it is "partial contains 5.8S ribosomal RNA, internal transcribed spacer 2, and large subunit ribosomal RNA". The stretch from base 1 to 105 matches the Rfam family "5.8S ribosomal RNA", at positions 50 to 154 of the family's 154-position model. The record is from RNAcentral.
GAAAUGCGAUAAGUAGUGUGAAUUGCAGAAUUCAGUGAAUCAUCGAAUCUUUGAACGCACAUUGCGCCCCUUGGUAUUCCAUGGGGCAUGCCUGUUCGAGCGUCAUCUACACCCUCAAGCUCUGCUUGGUGUUGGGCGUCUGUCCCGCCUACGUGCGCGGACUCGCCCCAAAUUCAUUGGCAGCGGUCCUUGCCUCCUCUCGCGCAGCACAUUGCGCUUCUCGAGGUGCGCUGCCCGCGUCCACGAAGCAACAUUACCGUCUUUGACCUCGGAUCAGGUAGGGAUACCCGCUGAACUUAAGC